RNAcentral lists this unclassified non-coding RNA (146 nucleotides) under soil metagenome. RNAcentral describes it as "partial internal transcribed spacer 1". The record is from RNAcentral.
CCGAGUUUACAAUUCCCAAACCCCUGUGAACAUACCACUUGUUGCCUCGGCGGAUCAGCCCGCUCCCGGUAAAACGGGACGGCCCGCCAGAGGACCCCUAAACUCUGUUUCUAUAUGUAACUUCUGAGUAAAACCAUAAAUAAAUC